RNAcentral lists this transfer RNA (589 nucleotides) under Nostoc sp. UCFM_NV. Its description in RNAcentral is "partial 16S-23S ribosomal RNA intergenic spacer". The stretch from base 276 to 348 matches the Rfam family "tRNA". Lineage: Bacteria; Bacillati; Cyanobacteriota; Cyanophyceae; Nostocales; Nostocaceae. The record is from RNAcentral.
UUAGGGAGACCUAAUCCACUCAGAAAUCGAAAACAAAAAGUGAAUAGAUUUUGAGAUGGUCAUCUCUAGGUCGGUCGCAACUAUUUGUGAAAAGCUUUCAAACUAUGAUUGGUUCGAUAUGGGCUAUUAGCUCAGGUGGUUAGAGCGCACCCCUGAUAAGGGUGAGGUCCCUGGUUCGAGUCCAGGAUGGCCCACCUGAAGGAGUGCUGAGUGUACAGUGCUGAGUGGUGAGUAAAAAACUCUCAACUCAUGACUGGGAACUCAGGACUGAUUAGGGGGGUUUAGCUCAGUUGGUAGAGCGCCUGCUUUGCAAGCAGGAUGUCAGCGGUUCGAGUCCGCUAACCCUCCACCUGAAAAAAGUGAAACAAAAACUGUAAAGAUUCAGCAACAUGGCAUAGCAAUAGCAAUAGCCAGACUGCUGGGUUAGUACCAGCCAGAACCUUGAAAACUGCAUAGAAACGCGAAAAAAAGCAGGCAGACGAAUCUGAGUGCUCAGUGCUGAGUAUUUAGUGGUGAGUGAAGAACUCAAAAUUAAGUAUGAAAGUAUUAGUAGUGAAGAAAAGUUUGCCGUGGUGACACCAAAUGUAUA